UAUCUCUUAGCCAGCAUACACGAAAACAACAAAGCGUUUAAAGAUUUCGCAUUUUGAUCAACACCUAGUUGAGGCAUUUUAUCAAACAGUUGGAAGGCAUGAUCCAACAACCCAGCUUGCCCUUUUGAGGAGGGUAAGAGCGGCGCGUGAUUUAUCCUUGCUGGAGAGGGGGGUGUUGGAAUCGGGGUUUAGGAUUGAUGAAAAAUGUCGAGGCUGAAAGUGAUGAGAGGAGGUGAAAUGUAGACGAUCAAAAGUGUUAAGCUGUCGAAGCUUGAUGAUGGAAGCCAUUGAUGAUGUC
This 298-nucleotide long non-coding RNA is filed under the name Helianthus annuus (common sunflower). Its description in RNAcentral is "sRNA HanXRQr2_Chr05g0193581". The record is from RNAcentral. Lineage: Eukaryota; Viridiplantae; Streptophyta; Magnoliopsida; Asterales; Asteraceae.